GACAGAGGUGCCAAGCGUUGGGCGGAAUCACUGGGCUUAAAGCGUGUGUAGGCGGUGGCGUAAGUACCUUGUGAAAUCCCACGGCUCAACCGUGGAACUGCUUGGUAUACUGCGUCUCUUGAGCCAACUAGGGGCUAUCGGAACAAGUGGUGGAGCGGUGAAAUGCGUUGAUAUCGAUAGGAACUCCGGUGGCGAAGGCGGCAUACUGGACCACAUCUGACGCUGAGGCGCGAAAGCCAGGGGAGCAAACGGG
This 253-nucleotide ribosomal RNA is filed under the name uncultured bacterium. RNAcentral's name for it is "partial 16S ribosomal RNA". It matches the Rfam family "Bacterial small subunit ribosomal RNA", at positions 524 to 776 of the family's 1533-position model. The record is from RNAcentral.